UGAAGAGCAGGGUUCAGGAGAAGAUGAGGAGAAUGAUCACGGUGAUUAUAACUCCAAAUGUUAGACUUCUGAAAAUAAAAGAUUCUGAGUUUUCUGAGCUCUGAAGGUGGAGAAUACUUACUGUUUGAUAUAUUUGGGGUAAUGUGCUUCGUUACAGUCUAUCAGCUGGACUGAAACGACGUGCUGUGAACUACAGGACGUAGAUCCUAUUAUCCUUACCAGCUGAAUCCUACAACACAGCUUUAAGUUUUUAAUCAAGCUGAAAUCCCGGAGAUAAUAUCGGAAUCAACGUUAUCUCAAAAAAGAAAAUGCACUCAUUAAUUGUAACUAACCACCCUAUUAAAGGGGUGAUGAACACAAUUAAUAAAUAUCCUUUUUUUCCAUGAAGGAUAAAUAGAUUCUUAAAAAUUUUUUGCUAUCGCAAUCUUGUCGAUGGAAAAAAAAUUUCAACUCGACUACAUAUGAAGGAAAAUCCAUUGGAAAGUUCCCAACCUGUGUAAGGGAAGGGUAGGGACUCAGUUGAAUAGCAACCUCUCCUCCAAUUUUAACAUGGAAAUACAAGACGAAAGAUGAUAUAAUUGUGCUCAUCUAUGCUACGACAUUUAAAAACAUCAAGGUCAAAAUGUCGAAACUCAAAUUCAACAAAAUAAUAAAUGUGUAGUAUUUUUUCAAAAUUUGU
Long non-coding RNA from Eurytemora carolleeae, 679 nucleotides. RefSeq lists it as uncharacterized. Lineage: Eukaryota; Metazoa; Arthropoda; Copepoda; Calanoida; Temoridae. The transcript is spliced from 3 exons. The record is from RefSeq and is a predicted model, not a curated record.